Long non-coding RNA from Patella vulgata (common limpet), 836 nucleotides. RefSeq lists it as uncharacterized. The record is from RefSeq and is a predicted model, not a curated record. The transcript has 3 exons. Lineage: Eukaryota; Metazoa; Mollusca; Gastropoda; Patellidae.
CAAUUACUUAUUCAAAAGUUGGAUAUUUUUAGGAGUGAAGGCUAUGAAAUUAUAUACCUGGAUGAAACAUGGUAAAUGCUAACCAAGCCAUCCAUGGAACAUGGACAGAAAACAGGAAAGGGUCAUUGGGCAUAAUUCUCCCAAACUGCAAUGAAUGCGAUAGAUUCAUUCCUUCUGGUAAGGGAUCAAGACUGAUCAUCUUAGAUGCUGGUUCGGUUGAUCGGGGUUACCAGUAAGGCACUGCGAGUUAAACCCAAUAGAGAUAAUUCAAGCACAAGAAAAGGCCUAUGUCGCCCGAAAAAAUACCACUUUCAAAAUCAAAGACGUUAAACGUCUGUUCCUUUAGGCCAAGGCUAGUGUGACAACUACAGACUGGGCUAAGGCAUGUCAACACGUCAUAGACAAGGUGGAGGAUCGGUUUUAGGAAGCGGGAAGAUUGAAUGAGGAAGUACCACCAGCCGUAUUUUCGUUCGGGAGUGACAGCGAGUUUGGGUGUGAGAGUGAAGAUUUGGGCGAGAAUGUCAGUGGAGAGAGUGAUAGUGAAAAGGUUACUGAGAAUAUGGAUGGUGGUGGUGUUGCGAAUGAAGAUUCGAGUGAUGAUGAUAAAAAUGUGUGUAGUGUAUGUGAUUGUGAGAACCCACCGGGAAGUGAGUCGGAUGCGAUUGUGGAUUGGGUGGGCUGUGAUUUGUGUGAAAGGUGGAUGCAUGUGAAAUGUACAGGGAAAGAGAUUGAUGUAAGUGCAAGUGUGGUGAAGUGUGUAGAUUGUUUGCGUAAAUUGUAUGAUAGAUAGCGUGAAUGUAGGCCAGACAACUUCUAUAAUUUAUAUUGUAUAUAGU